This is a non-coding RNA of Coffea arabica (coffee), 202 nucleotides long. The record is from RefSeq and is a predicted model, not a curated record. Lineage: Eukaryota; Viridiplantae; Streptophyta; Magnoliopsida; Gentianales; Rubiaceae.
ACAUUUGAGACGGCUACAUUGUUUAAUUCAAACUACAUGCUUAAAGUACAAGUAGAUCUCAAGUCUUCCUCAGUUGUCAGAACCUGUAAAAGAAAACCACAACGUGGGAUGAGCUACACAGCCCAGUGAGGUUCCAAGACGCUCUAACAGUUCAAAAUAGGUCAAGUAAGUUGUGCAUAUCAUAUGCAUGAUUCGAGGUUAC